Molecule: non-coding RNA, 125 nt
Organism: Brachypodium distachyon (stiff brome)
Lineage: Eukaryota; Viridiplantae; Streptophyta; Magnoliopsida; Poales; Poaceae
Source: Rfam
GAGUUACUCCCUCCGUUCCAUAAUUCUUGUCUCAAAUUUGCCUAAAAAUGGAUGUAUCUAUUUCUAAAAAGCGUUUAGAUACAUGUAAUAUUUCGACAAGAAUUAUGGAACGGAGGGAGUAGUAA